GGGGAAUUUUGGACAAUGGGCGAAAGCCUGAUCCAGCCAUGCCGCGUGAGUGAAGAAGGCCUUCGGGUUGUAAAGCUCUUUCAGACGGAAAGAAAACUUCGAGGCUAAUACCUUCGGAGGAUGACGGUACCGUAAGAAGAAGCACCGGCUAACUGCGUGCCAGCAGCCGCGGUAAUACGUAGGGUGCGAGCGUUAAUCGGAAUUACUGGGCGUAAAGCGUGCGCAGGCGGUUUUGUAAGACAGCUGUGAAAUCCCCGGGCUCAACCUGGGAACUGCGGUUGUGACUGCAAGACUUGAGUACGGCAGAGGGGGGUGGAAUUCCUGGUGUAGCAGUGAAAUGCGUAGAUAUCAGGAGGAACACCGAUGGCGAAGGCAGCCCCCUGGGCCUGUACUGACGCUCAUGCACGAAAGCGUGGGGAGCAAAC
RNAcentral lists this ribosomal RNA (425 nucleotides) under uncultured bacterium. RNAcentral's name for it is "bacterial SSU rRNA". It matches the Rfam family "Bacterial small subunit ribosomal RNA", at positions 356 to 773 of the family's 1533-position model. The record is from RNAcentral.